Molecule: ribosomal RNA, 241 nt
Filed under: uncultured bacterium
Lineage: Bacteria
Description: partial 16S ribosomal RNA
Rfam family: Bacterial small subunit ribosomal RNA
Source: RNAcentral
UACGGGAGGGUGCAAGCGUUAAUCGGAUUUAUUGGGCGUAAAGGGCGCGUAGGCGGACGAAAAAGUCGGACGUGAAAUCCCAGGGCUUAAACCCUGGGAACAGCAUCCGAAACUUUUUGUCUAGAGGGUAGGCGGAGAAAACGGAAUUCCACAAGUAGCGGUGAAAUGCGUAGAUAUGUGGAAGAACACCGGUAGGCGAAGGCGGUUUUCUAGCUUAUUCCUGACGCUAAAGCGCGAAAGC